Molecule: ribosomal RNA, 1453 nt
Filed under: Armatimonadota bacterium
Lineage: Bacteria; Bacillati; Armatimonadota
Description: bacterial SSU rRNA
Rfam family: Bacterial small subunit ribosomal RNA
Source: RNAcentral
ACGGAGAGUUUGAUCAUGGCUCAGGACGAACGCUGGCGGCGUGCCUAAAACAUGCAAGUCGAACGAGGCCUUUGGCCUAGUGGCGAACGGCGGAGUAAUACAUAAGCAACCUGCCCCGAAGACCGGGAUAGCCCCUUGAAAGAGGGAUUAAUACCGGAUGUUGUCCGAGGAGGGCAUCCUUUUUGGACUAAAACGCGCAAGCGGCUUUGGGAGGGGCUUGUGGCCUAUCACCUUGUUGGUGGGGUAACGGCUCACCAAGGGUUCGACGGGUAGCUGGUCUGAGAGGACGAUCAGCCCGACUGGGACUGAGACACGGCCCAGACUCCUACGGGAGGCAGCAGUUAGGAAUCUUGCGCAAUGGAGGAAACUCUGACGCAGCGACGCCGCGUGCAGGACGAAGUAUUUCGGUAUGUAAACUGCUUUUGCCAGGAAAGAAAUCUGACGGUACCUGGCGAAUAAGCCCCGGCUAACUACGUGCCAGCAGCCGCGGUAAGACGUAGGGGGCGAGCGUUGUCCGGAUUUACUGGGCGUAAAGAGCGCGUAGGCGGCGUGGCGAAGAGGUGAUUGGAAUUCCCGGUGUAGCGGUGACAUGCAUUGAUAUCGGGAGGAACACCAACGGCGAAGGCAGGUCACUAGUCGCCAACUGACGCUGAGGCGCGAAAGCGUGGGUAGCAAACAGAAUUAGAUACUCUGGUAGUCCACGCCCUAAACGAUGGAUACUAGUCGUCGGGGGUAUCGACCCCCUCGGUGACGUCGCAAACGCACUAAGUAUCCCGCCUGGGGAGUACGGCCGCAAGGUUGAAACUCAAAUGAAUUGACGGGACCCCGCACAAGCGGUGGAGCAUGUGGAUUAAUUCGAUACUAACCGAAGAACCUUACCCAGACUUGACAUCGAUGGUAAGCCGUAGAAAUGCGGCCCCCUACCCACAAGGUAGGCCGGAAGACACCUGUUGCAUGGCUGUCGUCAGCUCGUGCCGUGAGGUGUUUGGUUAAGUCCAGCAACGAGCGCAACCCUCAUUUCGUGUUACCAGCGGAUAAAGCCGGGGACUCACGAAAAACUGCUCCGGUAACGGAGAGGAAGGUGAGGAUGACGUCAAGUCGGCAUGGCGGUUACGUCUGGGGCUUCACACAUGCUACAAUGGGCGCAACAAAGGGCAGCAAUACCGCGAGGUGGAGCUAAUCCCAAAAAUACGCCCUCAGUUCAGAUUGCAGUCUGCAAUUCGACUGCAUGAAGGCGGAAUCGCUAGUAACCGCAGGUCAGCUAUACUGCGGUGAAUACGUUCCCGGGGUUUGUACACACUGCCCGUCAAGUCACCUGAAUUGUCUGCACCCGAAGUCCGUGGCUCAACCGUAAGGAGAGAGCGGCCGAAGGUGUGGGGGGUAAGGGGGACUAAGUCGUAACAAGGUAGCCGUACCGGAAGGUGUGGCUGGAUCACCUCCUUUAUAGGGAGCA